AUUGAACGCUGGCGGCAGGCCUAACACAUGCAAGUCGGGCGGAUGAAGGGAGCUUGCUCCUGGAUUCAGCGGCGGACGGGUGAGUAAUGCCUAGGAAUCUGCCUGGUAGUGGGGGAUAACGUCCGGAAACGGGCGCUAAUACCGCAUACGUCCUGAGGGAGAAAGUGGGGGAUCUUCGGACCUCACGCUAUCAGAUGAGCCUAGGUCGGAUUAGCUAGUUGGUGGGGUAAAGGCCUACCAAGGCGACGAUCCGUAACUGGUCUGAGAGGAUGAUCAGUCACACUGGAACUGAGACACGGUCCAGACUCCUACGGGAGGCAGCAGUGGGGAAUAUUGGACAAUGGGCGAAAGCCUGAUCCAGCCAUGCCGCGUGUGUGAAGAAGGUCUUCGGAUUGUAAAGCACUUUAAGUUGGGAGGAAGGGCGGUAAGUUAAUACCUUGCUGUUUUGACGUUACCAACAGAAUAAGCACCGGCUAACUUCGUG
This 484-nucleotide ribosomal RNA is filed under the name uncultured bacterium. Its description in RNAcentral is "partial 16S ribosomal RNA". It matches the Rfam family "Bacterial small subunit ribosomal RNA", at positions 30 to 507 of the family's 1533-position model. The record is from RNAcentral.